RNAcentral lists this long non-coding RNA (536 nucleotides) under Equus asinus (donkey). RNAcentral's name for it is "lncRNA (ENSEASG00005033254.1)". The record is from RNAcentral. Lineage: Eukaryota; Metazoa; Chordata; Mammalia; Perissodactyla; Equidae.
UUUGGUUCUAGUUGGGCAGUUCCUGUCGAAUCACAGGAGGAGGAGGAGUGUAAUCAUUGCGCAGUGUGUUUCGGCUUCUUGAUUAACAGUUGCAUUGGGCCUCUGAUGUAUGGGAAAAAAAGCUAACCCCAGCUUGAACACUAGAGAAAACUGCUGCAAUUAUGUCAGAAUACAAACUAGCGUCUCCGCCUCUCAGAACAAGCAUCACUUCCACGUGGAUGGCCUCCUCAGCCUCCCACUUCCAGUGCUUACUGGAGUCUAUUCCAAAUAGAUCUCCAUCUAUUGCAAAGCUCCCAUUAAAAAUUCUGGCUAUGGGGGCUGGCCCCGUGGCCGAGUGGUUAAGUUCGCGCGCUCCGCUGCAGGCGGCCCAGUGUUUCGUCGGUUUGAAUACUGGCCGCGGACAUGGCACUGCUCAUCAAGCCACACUGAGGCGGCGUCCCACAUGCCACCACUAGAAGGACCCACAACUAAGAAUGUACAACUAUAUACCGGGGGGCUUUGGGGAGAAAAAGGAAAAAAUAAAAUCUUUAAAAAAA